CCGGAGACCACCGCUAUUGGAAUACGCUUAAGCCAUGCGAGUUGAGAGGUGAAAGACCUCGGCGUACUGCUCAGUAACACGUGGAUAACCUGCCCUUGGGUGGAGGAUAACCUCGGGAAACUGAGGAUAAUACUCCAUAGGUAUAGAAUGCUGGAACGCUUCUAAACUGAAAACUCCGGUGCCCAAGGAUGGGUCUGCGGCCUAUCAGGUUGUAGUGAGUGUAAUGUACUCACUAGCCGACAACGGGUACGGGCCUUGAGAGAGGUUGCCCGGAGAUGGAUUCUGAGACAUGAAUGCAGGCCCUACGGGGCGCAGCAGGCGCGAAAACUUCGCAAUGUGGGAAACCACGACGAGGGAAUUCCAAGUGCUAUUACAUUUAUGUGAUAGCUGUUCUCUUUCCUAAAAAGAGAGGGGAGUAAGGGCUGGGUAAGACGGGUGCCAGCCGCCGCGGUAAUACCCGCAGCCCGAGUGGUGGUCGUUUUUAUUGGGACUAAAACGUCCGUAGCCGGUUUAGUAAACCCCUGGGUAAAUCGUGUAGCUUAACCCCACGAAUUCUGGGGGGACUGCUAGACUUGGGACCGGGAGAGGUUGGAGGUACUCCUGGGGUAGGGGUGAAAUCCUGUAAUCCUGGGGGGACCACCAGUGGCGAAGGCGACCGACUGGAACGGCUCCGACGGUAAGGGACGAAACCCUAGGGCGCAAACGGGAUUAGAUACCCCGGUAGUCUAGGGCGUAAACGCUGCAGGUUUGGUGUCGGGUGUCCUACGAGGGCAUCCGGUGCCGGAGAGAAGUUGUUAAACCUGCUUCCUGGGGAUUACGGCCGCAAGACUGGAACUUAAAGGAAUUGGCGGGGGAGCACCGCAACGGGUGGAGCGUGCGGUUUAAUUGGAUUCAACGCCGGAAAACUCACCGGGAGCGACUGGUACAUGAAAGUCAGCCUAACGAGCUUACUGGAUUAUCAGAGAGGUGGUGCAUGGCCGUCGUCAGUUCGUACCGCAAGGCGUUCUGUUAAGUCAGAUAACGAACGAGACCCCUGCCUCUAAUUGCAAAACACCAGUCCGCUGGUGAUGCACAUCAGAGGGACCGCUGGCGCUAAGUCAGAGGAAGGAGAGGGCGACGGUAGGUCAGUAUGCCCCGAAUCCCCUGGGCUACACGCGGGUCACAAUGUGCAGGACAAUGGGAUGCAACCCCGUGAGGGGAAGCCAAGCCCCUAAACCUGCGCUCAGUUCGGAUCGAGGGCUGCAACUCGCCCUCGUGAAGCUGGAAUCCCUAGUAAUCGCGGGCCACUACCCCGCGGUGAAUACGUCCCUGCUCCUUGCACACACCGCCCGUCAAGCCACUCGAGUGGGGUCUGGAUGAGGCUCGUUCAAGUUGGGCGGAUCAAAUCCAGGUUCUGCAAGAGGGGCU
Molecule: ribosomal RNA, 1407 nt
Filed under: uncultured archaeon SAGMA-S
Lineage: Archaea
Also listed under: 1 other name
Description: bacterial SSU rRNA
Rfam family: Archaeal small subunit ribosomal RNA
Source: RNAcentral